AGAGUUUGAUCAUGGCUCAGGAUGAACGCUGGCGACGUGGAUUAGGCAUGCAAGUCAAGGGGGCCGCAAGGCAACCGGCAGACGAGGUAGUAAUACGCAGGUACGCACCGAAAAGUCUGGCAUAGCUAGCCGAAAGGUUAGGUAAUACCGGAUGGUACGGCGACGUUAAAGGGGUAACCCGCUUUUUGAGCGGCCUGCGCAGCAUCAGUUAGUUGGUAGGGUAACGGCCUACCAAGACUAUGACGCUUAGAAGAGCUGAGAGGCUGACCUUCACCGAUAGCACUGAGACACGGGCUAUACAUCUACGGAUGGCUGCAGUCAAGAACUUUCCACAAUGGGCGAAAGCCUGAUGGAGCGACGUCGCGUGGUUGAUGAAGUCCUUCGGGACGUAAAGACCUUUUAUGGGGGAGGAAGUAAUUGACGUUACCCCAUGAAUAAGGGGCUCCUAACUCUGUGCCAGCAGGAGCGGUAAUACAGAGGCCCCAAGCGUUAUCCGGAAUCACUGGGCGUAAAGGGUGUGUAGGCGGUCGUGUUAGUCGUUUGUGAAAGACCUUGGGCUUAACCCAGGGGACGCAACCGAAACGGCACGACUCAGAGGACGUAAGAGGUACAGGGAACUCAUGGUGUAGGGGUGAAAUCCGUUGAUAUCAUGGGGAACACCAAAUGCGAAGGCACUGUACUGGUACGCUCCUGACGCUGAGACACGAAAGCGUGGGAAUCGAACGGGAUUAGAUACCCUAGUAGUCC
RNAcentral lists this ribosomal RNA (747 nucleotides) under uncultured bacterium. Its description in RNAcentral is "bacterial SSU rRNA". It matches the Rfam family "Bacterial small subunit ribosomal RNA", at positions 8 to 796 of the family's 1533-position model. The record is from RNAcentral.